UACGGAGGGUGCGAGCGUUGUCCGGAAUCACUGGGCGUAAAGGGCGCGUAGGCGGCCGUGUAAGUCACUUGUGAAAUCCCGGGGCUCAACCCCGGGGCUGCAGGUGAGACUGCGUGGCUAGAGCACGGUAGAGGCGAGUGGAAUUCCCGGUGUAGCGGUGGAAUGCGUAGAUAUCGGAAGGAACAUCAGUGGCGAAAGCGACUUCCUGGACCAAUACUGACGCUCAUGUGCGAAAGCGUGGGGAGCAAACAGG
Molecule: ribosomal RNA, 253 nt
Filed under: uncultured bacterium
Lineage: Bacteria
Description: partial 16S ribosomal RNA
Rfam family: Bacterial small subunit ribosomal RNA
Source: RNAcentral